RNAcentral lists this unclassified non-coding RNA (359 nucleotides) under fungal sp. RNAcentral describes it as "partial internal transcribed spacer region". The stretch from base 1 to 46 matches the Rfam family "Eukaryotic small subunit ribosomal RNA", at positions 1786 to 1831 of the family's 1831-position model. Lineage: Eukaryota; Fungi. The record is from RNAcentral.
AAGUCGUAACAAGGUUUCCGUAGGUGAACCUGCGGAAGGAUCAUUAACAUGUAUCCAACGUUAAAACAGCUUAGCCCGUGAAAACAGCAAUCCCUGGUAAAUCAUUGUUGACCAGCUUUUGAGUCAGGGACCUCUGCCGAUUGUGAUAUUUUCUAGCUACGGUUGAGCGAUUGCAUCUAGUGACCUGCAUCCCCAAGUAAUCAGUGUCUGAAAAUGUGAUUAUGUAAGGAUGGCGCAGUCACGAUCGCUGUCCGGCGACCGGGUCACCGGUCUGCCCCUUUACGUACGAAUUGGCCGCGCGUGAAAUUCGCACGGCACCAAAAACCGAACAACUGUUAACAAUGGAUAUCUUGGUUCUC